This 468-nucleotide ribosomal RNA is filed under the name uncultured bacterium. Its description in RNAcentral is "partial 16S ribosomal RNA". It matches the Rfam family "Bacterial small subunit ribosomal RNA", at positions 28 to 507 of the family's 1533-position model. The record is from RNAcentral.
GACGAACGCUGGCGGCGUGCUUAACACAUGCAAGUCGAACGGAAAGGCCCUGCUUUUGUGGGGUGCUCGAGUGGCGAACGCGUGAGUAACACGUGAGUAACCUGCCCUUGACUUUGGGAUAACUUCAGGAAACUGGGGCUAAUACCGGAUAGGAGCUCCUGCUGCAUGGUGGGGGUUGGAAAGUUUCGGCGGUUGGGGAUAGAUUCGCGGCUUAUCAGCUUGUUGGUGGGGUAGUGGCGUACCAAGGCUUUGACGGGUAGCCGGCCUGAGAGGGUGACCGGCCACAUUGGGACUGAGAUACGGCCCAGACUCCUACGGGAGGCAGCAGUGGGGAAUAUUGCACAAUGGGCGGAAGCCUGAUGCAGCAACGCCGCGUGCGGGAUGACGGCCUUCGGGUUGUAAACCGCUUUCGCCUGUGACGAAGCGUGAGUGACGGUAAUGGGUAAAGAAGCACCGGCUAACUACGUG